Molecule: long non-coding RNA, 1263 nt
Filed under: Anas platyrhynchos platyrhynchos (common mallard)
Lineage: Eukaryota; Metazoa; Chordata; Aves; Anseriformes; Anatidae
Description: lncRNA (ENSAPLG00000022688.1)
Source: RNAcentral
UCCAAGCGCCCCUGGCGCAGAGGAGGGCCACCAGCGACCCGCUCCGCAUUUCGGGCAGCGGGGCUCCCGCAGCUCGGCUCUACGCCUCCUUUAGCAUCGGCUGCGUCCUCUGCCGAGGUGCAAAUCCGGCAGCAGCACACGCCGCAGGGAUCUUUCCCCUUCCCCUUGUCCCCUUGUCCCCGUGCUCCCGUCCCCCAGCCCGGCCCGGGGGCGCGGAGCUGCGGGUCCCUCCCGGCGGUUCCCACGGUGCGGGGACCUGGGGCUCCCCGUCGCCUUCCCGACCGCAGCGGAGUGUUUCCGCCUCUUUUUUUUUUUUUUUUUAAAGGGGUGAUUUUCCCCCGCCGGGCCGGCCGAGAAGGGGCUGAUUACCGGCGGCGCGCCGCGACCGUCCGCAACCACGCUGGAAGCCGCCUCCUCCGCCCAAAACUUUCCCUCCGAGUACGGGAAGUUCACGGCCGGCCCGAGCCGAGCCGUGCCGAGCCGAGCCGUGCCGGGCCACCCUUCCUGUCCCGGCGCACAGUGGGGCUGCGCCUCCGUCCCGCUGCCCGCACCCUCGGGUCCCAUCCCCUUCCCCAUCCCCAUCUCUAUCCCCAUCCCCAUCUUUAUCCCCAUUCCCAUCCCCAUCCCUUUUCCCAUCCCUGUCCCGUUCCCAUCCCUGUCCCGUUCCCAUCCCCGUCCCAUUCCCAUCCCCAUCCCCAUCCCCAUCCCCACGCGCGAUCACCGUGGCUCACCUGCGCACGCGAAGAACGCGCGCCCCACGCGCGCCGCGCUCUCUCCUUCUUCUUCUUCUCCCUCUUCCUCCUUCUCCUCCUCCUCCUCCUCUUCCUCGGCCCGCGCUCUCCAGCCCCGCCUCUCCGCUCGUUGCACCGGCGAGGAGGAGGCUCCGGGCCCCCCCCCCAACCCCCCGGCCCGAGGGGGGCACUCGGCAGCAGCCGUGCUUGGGGACCCCGGGAGGGAGGCAGGGGGCUCGCAGCCAAGUCCCCGCCGCGUCCCUCCCGCAGCUGGCGGGGUCCUGCCGGCAGGAGGCGGGUGGCACGGCCACGCGUGGGCCAGGGCUCCCCCUCCUGGCCCGAGCUGCGCUCCCAGCCUGGAGCUGCUCGGAGGGGAGGAGGAGGCGCGGCCCCAGCGCUGCGGCAGCCCCCGAGGAAAGGAAAAAGGGCUGGGGGCGAAGGGGCUUCGUGCCGAGCACCCUCUGCCCCCCGCAGAGCGUGGGGAGGGAAAGGGGCGUGGGUGGGAGCCGUGGCACCGUGCUGCAGGUGUUGA